AUCGAUCUUCGGGUCACUUUUGGAGACAUUUUAGAGGGAGCUUGGAUCCUUAGUGUGGCUUCAGAGGCAUUUUGAGACAUCUUUUUCUUUUAGGAUUAGAGCCUUUGUGUUCGGCUGCUAGUUUGAGUGAGUUUUUAUCUCACUAGUGUCCCUAUGGGGGUCUCCUUGGUUCUUCGGUAGAGUUCACUUCAUUACAUUCACUAUUCACACUUUCUUUUCACUUCAGUGUUCAUAUUCCUUACACUCGUGAACUCUACCGAAGAGGGGCAUAUUUGUAGACCCCCAUUAGGGGCACAUUUUUUUCUCUCAUUUUGUGCAGCUCACUUGCCAGCUGGAGGGCUCCUACAAAGCCAAGUGCUGCCUCCUAGUUGGUUGCUAUGGAAUCAGCUUAGUGGAGUUGAU
RNAcentral lists this long non-coding RNA (402 nucleotides) under Vitis vinifera (wine grape). Its description in RNAcentral is "long non-coding RNA (VVIN_LNC007685)". The record is from RNAcentral. Lineage: Eukaryota; Viridiplantae; Streptophyta; Magnoliopsida; Vitales; Vitaceae.